GCCCCUAUUGUCUAAUGGCUAUGACGUCAGACUUCUAAUCACGUGAUUAUCUGGAGGUUGCGGGUUCGAGUCCCGCUAGGGGUU
Molecule: non-coding RNA, 84 nt
Organism: Lentinula aciculospora
Lineage: Eukaryota; Fungi; Basidiomycota; Agaricomycetes; Agaricales; Omphalotaceae
Source: the annotation of a GenBank genome assembly